CCUACGGGAGGCUGCAGUAGGGAAUAUUGGGCAAUGGGCGGGAGCCUGACCCAGCCAUGCCGCGUGCAGGAAGACGGCGUUCUGCGUUGUAAACUGCUUUUACCUGGGAAGAAAAGGCCACUGCGGUGGACAUUGCCGGUACCAGGUGAAUAAGCACCGGCUAACUCCGUGCCAGCAGCCGCGGUAAUACGGAGGGUGCAAGCGUUGUCCGGAUUUAUUGGGUUUAAAGGGUGCGUAGGCGGCCCGUUAAGUCAGCGGUGAAAGUUUAUGGCUCAACCAUGAAAUUGCCGUUGAUACUGGCGGGCUUGAGUGUUGAUGGGGUACAUGGAAUUUAUGGUGUAGCGGUGAAAUGCAUAGAUACCAUAAGGAACACCGAUAGCGAAGGCAUUGUACUUAUCAACAACUGACGCUGAGGCACGAAAGCGCGGGUAGCGAACAGG
RNAcentral lists this ribosomal RNA (440 nucleotides) under uncultured bacterium. RNAcentral describes it as "bacterial SSU rRNA". It matches the Rfam family "Bacterial small subunit ribosomal RNA", at positions 338 to 776 of the family's 1533-position model. The record is from RNAcentral.